GAUGAACGCUGGCGGCGUGCCUAAUACAUGCAAGUCGAGCGAACAGACGAGGAGCUUGCUCCUCUGACGUUAGCGGCGGACGGGUGAGUAACACGUGGAUAACCUACCUAUAUUACUGGGAUAACUGCGGGAAACCGGAUCUAAUACCGGAUAAUAUAUUUAACCGCAUGGUUCAAUAGUGAAAGACGGUUUUGCUGUCACUUAUAGGUGGAUCCGCGCCGCAUUAGCUAGUUGGUAAGGUAACGGCUUACCAAGGCAACGUUGCGUAGCCGACCUGGGAGGGUGAUCGGCCACACUGGAACGGAGACACGGUCCAGACUCCUACGGGAGGCAGCAGUCGGGCAUCUUGCGCAAUGGGCGAAAGCCUGACGGAGCAACGCCGCGUGAGUGAUGAAGGUCUUCGGAUCGUAAAACUCUGUUAUUAGGGAAGAACAAAUGUGUAAGUAACUAUGCACGUCUUGACGGUACCUAAUCAGGAAGCCCCGGCUAACUACGUG
This 497-nucleotide ribosomal RNA is filed under the name uncultured bacterium. Its description in RNAcentral is "partial 16S ribosomal RNA". It matches the Rfam family "Bacterial small subunit ribosomal RNA", at positions 28 to 507 of the family's 1533-position model. The record is from RNAcentral.